This 429-nucleotide ribosomal RNA is filed under the name Chloroflexota bacterium. RNAcentral describes it as "Chloroflexi bacterium partial 16S ribosomal RNA". It matches the Rfam family "Bacterial small subunit ribosomal RNA", at positions 355 to 776 of the family's 1533-position model. The record is from RNAcentral. Lineage: Bacteria; Bacillati; Chloroflexota.
UGGGGAAUAUUGCACAAUGGGCGCAAGCCUGAUGCAGCCAUGCCGCGUGUAUGAAGAAGGCCUUCGGGUUGUAAAGUACUUUCAGCGGGGAGGAAGGGAGUACAGUUAAUACCUUUGCUCAUUGACGUUACCCGCAGAAGAAGCACCGUCUAACUCCGUGCCAGCAGCCGCGGUAAUACGGAGGGUGCAAGCGUUAAUCGGAAUUACUGGGCGUAAAGCGCACGCAGGCGGUUUGUUAAGUCAGAUGUGAAAUCCUCGGGCUCAACCUGGGAACUGCAUCUGAUACUGGCAAGCUUGAGUCUCGUAGAGGGGGGUAGAAUUCCAGGUGUAGCGGUGAAAGGCGUAGAGAUCUGGAGGAAUACCGGUGGCGAAGGCGGCCCCCUGGACGAAGACUGACGCUCAGGUGCGAAAGCGUGGGGAGCAAACAGG